GAUGAACGCUGGCGGCGUGCCUAACACAUGCAAGUCGAGCGAGAAGGUGAUGACUGAUUCUUCGGAUGAAGGAUUCACUGGAGAGCGGCGGACGGGUGAGUAACGCGUGGGUAAUCUGCCCUGUGGAGGGGAUAACAUUCUGAAAAGAAUGCUAAUACCGCAUAAGCAUACAAGAUCGCAUGAUCAAGUGUGAAAAACUCCGGUGCCACAGGAUGAGCCCGCGUAAGAUUAGCUAGUUGGUAAGGUAAUGGCUUACCAAGGCGACGAUCUUUAGCCGACCUGAGAGGGUGAUCGGCCACAUUGGGACUGAGACACGGCCCAAAACUCCUACGGGAGCAGCAGUGGGGGAUAUUGCACAAUGGAGGAAACUCUGAUGCAGCAACGCCGCGUGAAGGAAGACGGUUUUCGGA
Molecule: ribosomal RNA, 410 nt
Filed under: uncultured bacterium
Lineage: Bacteria
Description: bacterial SSU rRNA
Rfam family: Bacterial small subunit ribosomal RNA
Source: RNAcentral